AUUUUCACCCGAGCCAGACAAAAUGAUGUUGCGUCUCGCUCCGUUCCUCACGGCAGUCCGGCCACGACCACCUGCAGAGGACGUGUGUCUCGCGCCCCCCCCAUCCGCGGUUGUCGUCUCGCGCCGCGUCGUCAGCGUUAUUAUUGCGCAAGUGUUCUGGUGUGAGUGUUUUUUUGUGAAGGAGGAGAUGGAAGGAGAGGAAGUAGAAGAUGUGUUCAACUGAGGGUGUGUUCUUGGAAAAGAUAAAAAUAAAGUUGCGGCCGGUUUGCCGCAGAACCGGAGCUCCGUGUUGUUGUUUUGUCAUUAACACAAAGUACAGGCGCACCAUAAACGCUCGGCUACACUCACAAUAGUCCGUGAAGACAUUCUUGAUGAAUAACAAACACUGUGUGUUCUCAUGUGCAUGUUGUUGAACAUGUAUCAUGCACUGUUGGUAAUAUUCUCUUUCUCCCAAAUGCCUCACGAGAGCUGUAGGAUAUUAGAAACAAAUAUACGACCCGGUUCAUAAAAUAAAAAUGCAUAUAGUGUACACCAGAAUACAGCCAUGAUUCUGAAACUGUGUAAUCCAUAAAGUAAUGACAAUAUUGUAAAACCACUGUAAAUCUGCAACUGUAAUAGAAUAAUACCAAUGUACAGUUAUGAUUGUAUUUGAUGUAAUGUAAUCAACUGGAAUGCAUGCAUGUAAAACAACAACUGAUAUUGACUAAGGAUCAUCCGAAAUCCGAGCUACAUUGAACUCACCAGAAGACCACUCCCAGAGGUGUGGACACUGACUUUCACACCUUUAAGCAUUGGUAUAAAUACCUGUAGCAACGAUUGUUCUCGAGUUCGCUGGUGGAGGCGACAGACGGGCACUAGGGAUGGUCAAAGGACUGACCUGGGGCCUGUUGGUCGCUGAGACCAGCGGCUCCUCAGCUGAGAUGUUCUUUUUACCACAACGCCAUCUCCUUUAUUAAAUACAUUUGAUUUGAACCUUUCGAUCAGCGAUGACCUCUGUCCGUCCGGCGUUUCUUCAUUUUUGAACACAACAGAGCCCAUCACCAAAGAGCCCGCUGUCACUUUCAUUAUCCUGCGCACUUUGGCUCCUUUAGCCGUGUUUACGGACAUGGAGCGACCUUGGCAGCGAUUGACCCCUUUGUGGCUUUGAAGAUGACUGACUGACUUUCUGACCUUUGGUCAUGAUGCUAACGAGCUCAGCUAACUAACGUUAGCUUGAAUGCUGACAUGGAAAUGGGGAAUUUCCCUGGUUUAACUUUUAAGAACGUUUCACAACUUGUGUGCAAGCGUUAUUUAACAGAGAGUUAUGUUAUACACUACAACAAAAAACAGUUACUUACCAAAUAACGAAUUUUCACCCGAGCCAGACAAAAUGAUGUUGCGUCUCGCUCCGUUCCUCACGGCAGUCCGGCCACGACCACCUGCAGAGGACGUGUGUCUCGCGCCCCCCCCAUCCGCGGUUGUCGUCUCGCGCCGCGUCGUCAGCGUUAUUAUUGCGCAAGUGUUCUGGUGUGAGUGUUUUUUUGUGAAGGAGGAGAUGGAAGGAGAGGAAGUAGAAGAUGUGUUCAACUGAGGGUGUGUUCUUGGAAAAGAUAAAAAUAAAGUCGGAGCUCCGUGUUGUUGUUUUGUCAUUAACACAAAGUACAGGCGCACCAUAAACGCUCGGCUACACUCACAAUAGUCCGUGAAGACAUUCUUGAUGAAUAACAAACACUGUGUGUUCUCAUGUGCAUGUUGUUGAACAUGUAUCAUGCACUGUUGGUAAUAUUCUCUUUCUCCCAAAUGCCUAAUGAGAGCCCAUCACCAGAGAGCCCACCGUCACUUUCAUUAUCGUUAGCUAACAUUUACUAAAGCUGCGCACUUUGGCUCCUUUAGCCGUGUUAACGGACAGGGAGCGACGUUGGCAGCGAUUGACC
Gasterosteus aculeatus aculeatus (three-spined stickleback) is the source of this 1913-nucleotide long non-coding RNA. The record is from Ensembl. NCBI's taxonomy places the organism in Eukaryota, Metazoa, Chordata, Actinopteri, Perciformes, Gasterosteidae.